UAGGGAAUCCUCCACAAUGGACGCAAGUCUGAUGGAGCAACGCCGCGUGAGUGAAGAAGGUCUUCGGAUCGUAAAACUCUGUUGUUAGAGAAGAACACGAGUGAGAGUAACUGUUCAUUCGAUGACGGUAUCUAACCAGCAAGUCACGGCUAACUACGUGCCAGCAGCCGCGGUAAUACGUAGGUGGCAAGCGUUGUCCGGAUUUAUUGGGCGUAAAGGGAACGCAGGCGGUCUUUUAAGUCUGAUGUGAAAGCCUUCGGCUUAACCGGAGUAGUGCAUUGGAAACUGGAAGACUUGAGUGCAGAAGAGGAGAGUGGAACUCCAUGUGUAGCGGUGAAAUGCGUAGAUAUAUGGAAGAACACCAGUGGCGAAAGCGGCUCUCUGGUCUGUAACUGACGCUGAGGUUCGAAAGCGUGGGUAGCAAACAGGAUUAGAUACCCUGGUAGUCCACGCCGUAAACGAUGAAUGCUAGGUGUUGGAGGGUUUCCGCCCUUCAGUGCCGCAGCUAACGCAAUAAGCAUUCCGCCUGGGGAGUACGACCGCAAGGUUG
This 550-nucleotide ribosomal RNA is filed under the name uncultured bacterium. Its description in RNAcentral is "bacterial SSU rRNA". It matches the Rfam family "Bacterial small subunit ribosomal RNA", at positions 355 to 896 of the family's 1533-position model. The record is from RNAcentral.